AUGCAAUGCAGGUGGAAGUGUCUUAAAAAAGAGGACAAGGAGAGUGUUUGGAGACAGAGAUGGAGAAUCUCAAAGAGAAAUCCCAACCCGGGAUCCCUGGGUGGCGCAGCGGUUUGGCGCCUGCCUUUGGCCCGGGGCGUGAUUCUGGAGACCCGGGAUCGAAUUCCACAUCGGGCUCCCUGCAUGGAGCCUGCUUCUCCCUCUGCCUGUGUCUCUGCCUCUCUGUCUCUCUCUGUGUGACUAUCAUGAAUAAAUAAAUAAAAUCUUAAAAAAAAAAAAAAGAAAUCCCA
This 290-nucleotide long non-coding RNA is filed under the name Canis lupus familiaris (dog). RNAcentral describes it as "lncRNA (ENSCAFG00845016966.1)". Lineage: Eukaryota; Metazoa; Chordata; Mammalia; Carnivora; Canidae. The record is from RNAcentral.